RNAcentral lists this transfer RNA (72 nucleotides) under Heliconius melpomene (postman butterfly). RNAcentral describes it as "tRNA HMEL007195". It matches the Rfam family "tRNA". From Rfam's summary of the family: Transfer RNA (tRNA) molecules are approximately 80 nucleotides in length. Their secondary structure includes four short double-helical elements and three loops (D, anti-codon, and T loops). The record is from RNAcentral. Lineage: Eukaryota; Metazoa; Arthropoda; Insecta; Lepidoptera; Nymphalidae.
GCAUCGGUGGUUCAGUGGUAGAAUGCUCGCCUGCCACGCGGGUAGCCCGGGGUACAAUUCCCGGCUGAUGCA